This 878-nucleotide ribosomal RNA is filed under the name uncultured bacterium. RNAcentral describes it as "bacterial SSU rRNA". It matches the Rfam family "Bacterial small subunit ribosomal RNA", at positions 618 to 1508 of the family's 1533-position model. The record is from RNAcentral.
AAACUGCCUCCAAUACUGUUGGGCUAGAGAGUAGUUGCGGUAGGCGGAAUGUAUGGUGUAGCGGUGAAAUGCUUAGAGAUCAUACAGAACACCGAUUGCGAAGGCAGCUUACCAAACUAUAUCUGACGUUGAGGCACGAAAGCGUGGGGAGCAAACAGGAUUAGAUACCCUGGUAGUCCACGCAGUAAACGAUGAUAACUCGUUGUCGGCGAUACACAGUCGGUGACUAAGCGAAAGCGAUAAGUUAUCCACCUGGGGAGUACGUUCGCAAGAAUGAAACUCAAAGGAAUUGACGGGGGCCCGCACAAGCGGAGGAACAUGUGGUUUAAUUCGAUGAUACGCGAGGAACCUUACCCGGGCUUGAAAGUUAGCGACAGACAUUGAAAGAUGUUUUCCCUACGGGGCGCGAAACUAGGUGCUGCAUGGUUGUCGUCAGCUCGUGCCGUGAGGUGUCGGGUUAAGUCCCAUAACGAGCGCAACCCCUACCGUUAGUUGCCAUCAGGUCGAGCUGGGCACUCUGGCGGGACUGCCGGUGUAAGCCGAGAGGAAGGUGGGGAUGACGUCAAAUCAGCACGGCCCUUACGUCCGGGGCUACACACGUGUUACAAUGGUAGGUACAGAGGGCAGCUACCCUGCGAAGGGAUGCGAAUCUCGAAAGCCUAUCUCAGUUCGGAUUGGAGGCUGAAACCCGCCUCCAUGAAGUUGGAUUCGCUAGUAAUCGCGCAUCAGCCAUGGCGCGGUGAAUACGUUCCCGGGCCUUGUACACACCGCCCGUCAAGCCAUGGGAGCUGGGGGUGCCUGAAGUUCGUGACCGCGAGGAGCGACCUAGGGCAAAACCGGUGACUGGGGCUAAGUCGUAACAAAGGUAGCCGUAAGCC